RNAcentral lists this long non-coding RNA (222 nucleotides) under Salvia miltiorrhiza (redroot sage). RNAcentral describes it as "long non-coding RNA (SMIL_LNC003028)". Lineage: Eukaryota; Viridiplantae; Streptophyta; Magnoliopsida; Lamiales; Lamiaceae. The record is from RNAcentral.
UUGUUAAGACGGAGCGUAGCUUCAAUCUCGGGAUCAAAAUCUUCAAGAGGAAGAUUCUGAGAUCGUGUGUUCAUUCACUACCUGGAAAGCUCCAAACACAAGAAUUAGAACCACAGGAAAAAAAAAGAACAGAAAAAUAAAUAAACAGAAAUAAAAUUCAGAUUAGUCUCAAACAAUUAACAGAUAGUACUGAUAAAAAUCAGUCCCCGGCAACGGCGCCAA